Molecule: long non-coding RNA, 490 nt
Organism: Exaiptasia diaphana
Lineage: Eukaryota; Metazoa; Cnidaria; Anthozoa; Actiniaria; Aiptasiidae
Exons: 3
Source: RefSeq, a predicted model, not a curated record
AGUCCUUUGCGGGGUAUGUUAAUUACGAGUGUGGCCUAUAUAAUACUGUAUGGAAUGCGAUCGGGUUGCGAUAUAAGGGGACAUCUUUCAAGCUACGAGCAUCUACAGAAUCUGAUUUGCUGCAUAAACAAAGAUGAAGUCCACAACUUUCGCUAUUCUAUUCAGCAUAGCUAUCUCAUUAGCUCAAAGUGAUAAUGCGGAAGUGGAAAACUGCCUAACACAAUGCUUCGAAACUGCUGAAGAUUGCAUCUUCAAUCAGAUCGCAUGCGUUAGUCGUCGAUCCUGUCUUAGUUGUGUCCGUAGCGUUACUCGUCCGUGCAUGGCAUUAUGCCGAAGUAAAGGAAAGAAAAGCCUUCGAUCAAUAAUUGGAAUCUAAAAACGAAUGACAAUCAAAAAGACUUACUCGAACUAUGUAUCAAUGAGGACAUUUCCAUGUUCGAUUUGUUAUUGUUAGUGUCUACUAUUACAAAUAAAAUGUAAAAUUCAAGAC